This 305-nucleotide ribosomal RNA is filed under the name uncultured bacterium. RNAcentral describes it as "bacterial SSU rRNA". It matches the Rfam family "Bacterial small subunit ribosomal RNA", at positions 338 to 636 of the family's 1533-position model. The record is from RNAcentral.
CCUACGGGACGCAGCAGUGGGGAAUUUUGGACAAUGGGCGCAAGCCUGAUCCAGCUAUUCCGCGUGUGGGAUGACGGCCCUCGGGUUGUAAACCACUUUAGUAGAGAACGAAAAGGAGCUAUCGAAUAAAUAGCUCUGCUGGCGGUACUCUAAGAAUAAGCACCGGCUAACUACGUGCCAGCAGCCGCGGUAAUACGUAGGGUGCGAGCGUUAUCCGGAUUUAUUGGGUUUAAAGGGUGCGCAGGCGGAUUUUUAAGUCAGCGGUCAAAUCGUGGGGCUCAACCCCAUCCAGCCGUUGAAACUGG